CCUACGGGUGACAGCAGUGAGGAAUAUUGGUCAAUGGACGAGAGUCUGAACCAGCCAAGUAGCGUGAAGGAUGACUGCCCUAUGGGUUGUAAACUUCUUUUAUAUGGGAAUAAAAUGUUCCACGUGUGGGAUUUUGUAUGUACCAUAUGAAUAAGGAUCGGCUAACUCCGUGCCAGCAGCCGCGGUAAUACGGAGGAUCCGAGCGUUAUCCGGAUUUAUUGGGUUUAAAGGGAGCGUAGGUGGAUUGUUAAGUCAGUUGUGAAAGUUUGCGGCUCAACCGUAAAAUUGCAGUUGAAACUGGCAGUCUUGAGUACAGUAGAGGUGGGCGGAAUUCGUGGUGUAGCGGUGAAAUGCUUAGAUAUCACGAAGAACUCCGAUUGCGAAGGCAGUUCACUGGACUGCAACUGACGCUGAGGCUCGAAAGUGUGGGUAUCAAACAGGAUUAGAUACCCCUGUAGUC
This 460-nucleotide ribosomal RNA is filed under the name uncultured bacterium. Its description in RNAcentral is "partial 16S ribosomal RNA". It matches the Rfam family "Bacterial small subunit ribosomal RNA", at positions 338 to 795 of the family's 1533-position model. The record is from RNAcentral.